AAAUGACUCUCGGCAACGGAUAUCUCGGCUCUUGCAUCGAUGAAGAACGUAGCAAAAUGCGAUACGUGGUGUGRAUUGCAGAAUUCCGUGAACCAUCGAGUUUUUGAACGCAAGUUGCGCCCAAUGUCAAUUUGGCUAAGGGCACGUCUGCCUGGGCGUCACGC
Molecule: ribosomal RNA, 164 nt
Filed under: Elatostema serra
Lineage: Eukaryota; Viridiplantae; Streptophyta; Magnoliopsida; Rosales; Urticaceae
Description: 5.8S ribosomal RNA
Rfam family: 5.8S ribosomal RNA
About the family: 5.8S ribosomal RNA (5.8S rRNA) is a component of the large subunit of the eukaryotic ribosome.
Source: RNAcentral